This 499-nucleotide ribosomal RNA is filed under the name Trichostrongylus axei. RNAcentral's name for it is "SSU rRNA". It matches the Rfam family "Eukaryotic small subunit ribosomal RNA", at positions 37 to 567 of the family's 1831-position model. The record is from RNAcentral. Lineage: Eukaryota; Metazoa; Nematoda; Chromadorea; Rhabditida; Trichostrongylidae.
UCUAAGAUUAAACCAUGCAUGCGGAGUUCAUCUCAAAGAGAAACUGCGAACGGCUCAUUAGAGCAGAUGUCAUUUAUUCGGAACGUCCUAUUGGAUAACUGCGGUAAUUCUGGAGCUAAUACAUGUAAAUAAACCCUGACUUUCGAAAGGGUGCAAUUAUUAGAGCAAAUCAAUCACCUUCGGGUGCUGUUUGCUGACUCUGAAUAACGCAGCAUAUCGGCGGCUUGUCCGCCGAUAUUCCGAAAAAGUGUCUGCCCUAUCAACCUGAUGGUAGUCUAUUAGUCUACCAUGGUUAUUACGGGUAACGGAGAAUAAGGGUUCGACUCCGGAGAGGGAGCCUUAGAAACGGCUACCACAUCCAAGGAAGGCAGCAGGCGCGAAACUUAUCCAAUCUUGAAGAGAUGAGAUAGUGACUAAAAAUAAAAAGACCAUUCCUAUGGAACGGUCAUUUCAAUGAGUUGAUCAUAAACCUUUUUCGAGGAUCAAGUGAGUCAGGUGC